Molecule: unclassified non-coding RNA, 1026 nt
Filed under: Hevea brasiliensis (rubber tree)
Lineage: Eukaryota; Viridiplantae; Streptophyta; Magnoliopsida; Malpighiales; Euphorbiaceae
Source: RNAcentral
UUUUUUUUUUAAUUUUUUUUUUAUCUAUGCAACAAUUUAUUAUGUUAAAUUACCCAUAUAACUCCAUUAAAAUAAUUUUAUACCCAUUAAACUUUUAAAAUAUUAUUAUGUUAAUAAAUUUAGACUUUUUUGCUUUGACAAUCAUUGUAUUUAUUGUACAACCUUUAGAUUAAUAAUUAUUGUAUUUAUUGUUUUCACAAUUAAAAAUCUAGCAUAUCCAUUAAUUUAUUUGCUUGUGAAAUUGGCAUUAAUAUUACCUAUUGCAUUUGCAAGUGUUGAAAAGGUAUUUUCUACAUGAAAUUAUGAAGCCUCGAUUGCGGAAUUGAAUGGGAGAUUGUUGAAUGAUUUUUUAAUUGCAUAUAUUAAAAUAUAUUUUUGAUAGCAUUGAUAAAUGAGGCAAUCAAGUAAUGCAUUCAGAAAAUUAAAAUUCGUUAAGGAAAAUUAUAAAUUUAAGAUUAUUGCGAGAAUUUAUUAUUUUAUAAAAUCAUUUUCUUUUUUACUCAAUUAUUGUUACAUAUUGAAAAUUUACAUGCAUUAUUAUAUUUUUUUUCUUUCAAUAAAUAGUUUAUGAUUGUAUACAAUAUUUACCUUUUUCACUAAAUUGAGCAAAAUAAAAUUUUUUGACAUCACUAACUCAAUUUUCUAGCUCUUUCCCUGCCUGUGACACUUCCCAUGCUGGUUUUGAGACCCCUAAAACCACCUUAAUCGCUAGUAUUUGUGCAUGUAUUUGUAGUGGAGUGCACGAAUUUGCCAGGUGUCUCCUUCUCUCUUUCCUUUUUCAUGGAUUUGCACAUGUACAUCUCCACAUCUGCAAAUUCAUUGUUAGAUCUGCUAACAUGUCUUUAUUUAUACAAUGAACUUGAAGUGAAAUUUCAACUCCUAUGUUCCUUUGCUAUAAUUGAUGAUAUUAGUGAAUGUCUGAGGUAUUGUUAGUAAAUGUUUGGUUUUCAUGUGCCUCUAUAAAUUAAAUCAUGAUUUGUUGAUUCUUGGAUUAUCGUGGCUGGUACUUGUUAAAAAAUUUCAGAU